CCUACGGGGUGCAGCAGUGGGGGAUAUUGCACAAUGGGGGAAACCCUGAUGCAGCGACGCCGCGUGAGUGAAUAAGUAUUUCGGUAUGUAAAGCUCUAUCAGCAGGGAAGAAAAUGACGGUACCUGAGUAAGAAGCCGCGGCUAACUACGUGCCAGCAGCCGCGGUACUACGUAGGGGGCAGGCGUUAUCCGGAUUUACUGGGUGUAAAGGGAGCGUAGACGGCAGUGAAAGUCUGGAGUGAAAGGCGGGGGCCACACCCCCGGACUGCUCUGGAAACUGUGCGGCUGGAGUGCAGGAGAGGUAAGUGGAAUUCCUGGUGUAGCGGUGAAAUGCGUAGAUAUCAGGAGGAACACUAGUGGCGAAGGCGGCUUACUGGACUGUAACUGACGUUGAGGCUCGAAAGCGUGGGGAGCAAACAGGAUUAGAUACCCGUGUAGUC
Molecule: ribosomal RNA, 440 nt
Filed under: uncultured bacterium
Lineage: Bacteria
Description: partial 16S ribosomal RNA
Rfam family: Bacterial small subunit ribosomal RNA
Source: RNAcentral